AUUGAACGCUGGCGGCAGGCCUAACACAUGCAAGUCGAGCGGAUGAAGGGAGAUUGCUCCUGGAUUCAGCGGCGGACGGGCGAGUAAUGCCUAGGAAUCUGCCUGGCAGUUGGGGAUAACGUCCGGAAAUGGGCGCUAUUACCGUAUACGUCCUGAGGGAGAAAGUGGGGGAUCUUCGGACCUCACGCUCUCAGAUGAGCCUAGGUCGGAUUAGCUAGUUGGUGGGGUAAAGGCGUACCAAGGCGACGAUCCGUAACUGGUCUGAGAGGAUGAUCAGUCACACUGGAACUGAGACACGGUCCAGACUCCUACGGGAGGCAGCAGUGGGGAAUAUUGGACAAUGGGCGAAAGCCUGAUCCAGCCAUGCCGCGUGUGUGAAGAAGGUCUUCGGAUUGUAAAGCACUUUAAGUUGGGAGGAAGGGCAGUAAGUUAAUACCUUGCUGUUUUGACGUUACCAACAGAAUAAGCACCGGCUAACUUCGUG
Molecule: ribosomal RNA, 484 nt
Filed under: uncultured bacterium
Lineage: Bacteria
Description: partial 16S ribosomal RNA
Rfam family: Bacterial small subunit ribosomal RNA
Source: RNAcentral